ACUACGGGAGGCUGCAGUGGGGAAUAUUGCACAAUGGGCGCAAGCCUGAUGCAGCCAUGCCGCGUGUGUGAAGAAGGCCUUCGGGUUGUAAGGCACUUUCAGCGGGGAGGAAGGCGGUGAGGUUAAUAACCUCAUCGAUUGACGUUACCCGCAGAAGAAGCACCGGCUAACUCCGUGCCAGCAGCCGCGGUAAUACGGAGGGUGCAAGCGUUAAUCGGAAUUACUGGGCGUAAAGCGCACGCAGGCGGUCUGUCAAGUCGGAUGUGAAAUCCCCGGGCUCAACCUGGGAACUGCAUUCGAAACUGGCAGGCUAGAGUCUUGUAGAGGGGGGUAGAAUUCCAGGUGUGGCGGUGAAAUGCGUAGAGAUCUGGAGGAAUACCGGUGGCGAAGGCGGCCCCCUGGACAAAGACUGACGCUCAGGUGCGAAAGCGUGGGGAGCGAACAGGAUUAGAUACCCCAGUAGUC
Molecule: ribosomal RNA, 465 nt
Filed under: uncultured Klebsiella sp.
Lineage: Bacteria; Pseudomonadati; Pseudomonadota; Gammaproteobacteria; Enterobacterales; Enterobacteriaceae
Description: bacterial SSU rRNA
Rfam family: Bacterial small subunit ribosomal RNA
Source: RNAcentral